AACGCACGAGACCUGCGGACCUGCGGAGGGAUCAUUCACAAACAAGUGUUUAUGACACUUUUAAACAAUCCAUAUCCACCUUGUGUGCAACGUUUGAAUUCGAUCCGCACGCGCUCUCCUUUAAUGCGAAAGCGUGUGGGGAAGGAUUCUCAACACCAUUAACAUGUCUUGAACUAGUUUGUCUGAAUGAACGUAUCAUGAAUUACUUAAUUCGAAAUACAACUUUUAGCAAUGGAUCUC
RNAcentral lists this unclassified non-coding RNA (240 nucleotides) under soil metagenome. Its description in RNAcentral is "partial contains 5.8S ribosomal RNA, internal transcribed spacer 2, and large subunit ribosomal RNA". The record is from RNAcentral.